UGAGGAAUUUUCCGCAAUGGGCGAAAGCCUGACGGAGCAAUGCCGCGUGGAGGUGGAAGGCCUACGGGUCGUCAACUUCUUUUCUCGGAGAAGAAACAAUGACGGUAUCUGAGGAAUAAGCAUCGGCUAACUCCGUGCCAA
This 141-nucleotide ribosomal RNA is filed under the name uncultured bacterium. Its description in RNAcentral is "partial 16S rRNA". It matches the Rfam family "Bacterial small subunit ribosomal RNA", at positions 355 to 511 of the family's 1533-position model. The record is from RNAcentral.